This 24-nucleotide non-coding RNA is filed under the name Arabidopsis thaliana (thale cress). The record is from RNAcentral. Lineage: Eukaryota; Viridiplantae; Streptophyta; Magnoliopsida; Brassicales; Brassicaceae.
AAAUUUACAAAGUCAUUCAGAUGG